RNAcentral lists this long non-coding RNA (1583 nucleotides) under Homo sapiens (human). RNAcentral describes it as "non-protein coding lnc-CCDC28A-1:9". The record is from RNAcentral. Lineage: Eukaryota; Metazoa; Chordata; Mammalia; Primates; Hominidae.
AUUUCACCAUGUUGGCCCGGCUGGUGUUGAACUCCUGACCUCAGGUGAUCCACCCACCUCAGCUUCUCAAAGUGCUGGGAUUACAAGCGUGAGCCACAGCACCCGGCCCAGCAUUGUUCUUUAGUUUAUUCCCUCUUCUAUUCCCUUGAGACUUUCCCAUUGGUUUGAAAAGAAUUAUGAUUUAGCCACAUAAACUAAUAAAAAGAGAGCAAGAAUAUUUUUGUAAAUUUGUAAUCCUGGGGCAAUAUCAAUAGAAUUUUUUUUAUAAAAUGAAUGAUUUCACUACUCCAGAAGUGGAAUGUAAACUCUAUACAUAACCAGAACAUGGAAUUAACAGGACUCAUGGGUGUAUCCAUAAAAGCAACUGAAUUUUUAGUCUUCUGCUGUUAAUAAUCUGUUCCAUGAGGAUAGUUCUUCCUCUUCCACAGAAUGAAACUCAGGCAGUCCUAUAACUUUUUUAUUCUCUCAGGUAAUAGAAAAUCCUGUUACUUUAAGAGGAAAAACCCUGCUCUUAAUUCAGUAAUUCAAAUCUUGUCCCCUUCCCCAACAGGGUCUCCUAUGGACAGAAGUGCGGGCAAGGAGCUUUGUUCCUCCCCGAUGUCACCCUCCCACAGCCCACUUGCUAGCAGGCAAGAGAGGGGUGGAGGCCGGCAGUAAGGCAUGUACUGAACUGGACCUCUGGUGGAAUGGGUCACCCACGCUGGGCUUGGUGGGUAUUUGAAAGUGACUCUUUCGUGAACACUGUUGUGAGCCCUCACUGGGAAUGUCUGGCCAUGCUUCCUGACGCUGGCAAUGAAUUUUCUCUAGCUGCUUAUUCUACCCCAACCUUGGUCUUCCUUCUGUCCCCUCCAUGCAGACUCUUACCAUCAGGGUCCUGCCAACCCUUCAGUGAGACUUUUUCCGAAGAAUCCCUUUUAAAAUGACCUCAAGCUGACCUUCCUGAUGCAGAUUCCACAUAUGGUAUCUGAGACUCACACAGUGUGGUUGGAAGAUAGCACAGUGACCUCCCAGGCACAGCCCUCUGCCAGCCCUCCACUGGCUGCCCUAGGAUGCUGGCCUUCCUCCGAUGGGAGUCGGGCCCAGUCUGCUGUGAGCCAGGAGAAGCCAGCAAGCUCCCUGCGAGGCCUGGAGGAGCCCUUCUCACUCAGCUUGGUGUUCGAUGCCAGUGCCCCCGCCCAUUGUGGGGUGAGGGUGGGACUCUCAGCACAGCCCUGUCCAAAUAAAUCCUCUAAAGCCCUCUUCCAUCUGCAGUCACUUGAGUCUUUUGUAGCCUGUGUGAUUGAGCAUCUAAGCAGUCCUCAGCUAUUUACUUUGAAAUUUCGUAAGUGAUUUUGGUAUCUGUCAUUUCUUGAUGCAUCAGUCACAACUCCCCAUCUAACAUCCCAUUAAAUAAUAUAUAAAACAGAACAAAAACAUUGUGCCAACUUCUUCUAAGAAGAAUUUAAUGUCACUUCCUAAGUUAAGCAGUUGGGCCCUGUCCCAUGACUGUUCAUCUCUGCUCAAUAGUCAUCAAGAGCUGAGAAAGAAGAAAGGAGCCCUGGGGGCCUAAGCUGUGUGUGUGUGUGUGUGUGUGUGUGUGUGUG